GAGCGGAUCGAGACGGAAGCUUGCUUCCGUCUUGGUUAGCGGCGGACGGGUGAGUAACACGUAGGCAACCUGCCUGCAAGACCGGGAUAACCUUCGGAAACGAAAGCUAAUACCGGAUACGCGGUUUUCUCGCAUGGGAGAAUCGGGAAAGACGGCUUCGGCUGUCGCUUGGAGAUGGGCCUGCGGCGCAUUAGCUAGUUGGUGGGGUAACGGCUCACCAAGGCGACGAUGCGUAGCCGACCUGAGAGGGUGAUCGGCCACACUGGGACUGAGACACGGCCCAUACUCCUACGGGAGGCAGCAGUAGGGAAUCUUCCGCAAUGGACGCAAGUCUGACGGAGCAACGCCGCGUGAGUGAGGAAGGUCUUCGGAUCGUAAAGCUCUGUUGCCAGGGAAGAACGGAUGAGGGAGUAACUGCCCUGGUCAUGACGGUACCUGAGAAGAAAGCCCCGGCUAACUACGUGCCAGCAGCCGCGGUAAU
Molecule: ribosomal RNA, 481 nt
Filed under: uncultured bacterium
Lineage: Bacteria
Description: bacterial SSU rRNA
Rfam family: Bacterial small subunit ribosomal RNA
Source: RNAcentral